Molecule: long non-coding RNA, 1680 nt
Organism: Tachysurus fulvidraco (yellow catfish)
Lineage: Eukaryota; Metazoa; Chordata; Actinopteri; Siluriformes; Bagridae
Exons: 2
Source: RefSeq, a predicted model, not a curated record
AUGCACCAAUGAUAACUGACAUUAAAGUGAGCUAACGGACAUUAGCACAGUCCAGUUAUAAUCAUUAGUUAGCUGGAUGCUAGCUAGCUAAUAUGAAGAAAACUUUUAAUGAAAAAAUCCCAACCGGUUGUUAGUAUAAAAUUGGAGCAUGAAGCCUGUACAGAAGACUCUCUGGAUGGAGUGUCAAUGCUUAGUUACAUCCUAUGGACAAUUUAGAGAUGCCCAUCAACAUGCAGUGCGUGUCUUUGUACUGGAAAAAGAAUCUUCAGAAGAACAUGCAAAAGCCUCGAACACAGGAGCAGACAAAGGAAUCAAACACAUAAACUCUGUAAUCUGUCUCUCCUCCCCAGUGACCCAACAUGCUACUCACUGUACCAAUGUAUCACUCAUUGGUACAAGCCUGUUGAAUUGGAUACCAGAGGGGCAGAAAAGCAUCAGCAUCUCUAGUCGUUACAUGAAGGUCUUGCACGAAGCAGAGAGAUGUUUAUUGACUGCAAGGAUUUCAGAAAUGUUUUUAUUUUUUUCUCCAAAGCAGCAAAACCACAGAAGCAGCAAAACCACAGAAGCAGCGGAGAGAGAAACAUCAUUCGAUCACAGCUUAACAUGCUUAAAGCUCUAAGAUCUAAGCGCUCGUGUUGUGCAGAGUGUGACCACGUGUUAUCUCCUCCAAUGGACGCUAAAAAAAUAAAGCUUUUUUAACAUCUUUUUUGACCGCAUUUAGAGGGCCAUCAUGUUCUGUAGAUAGGGGUCAUCCUGUCUCUUCAUCCUGGAAGAUGCAACAUCUACCAGGACAGAAAAGUUUCACCAGAGGGUGAAAUACAUGUUUUAGUUCCAGCAAGACAAACCAUGCCAGCAAAUAUAUAUAAUAUAUAAACCUAACACCAUGUAGAUCUUAAACUUUAACGGAACGCAUCACUUUAACUCAAAAAAUAUGUAAAUAAUUUAGUAUUUACUUAAAAGUAUGUUGUAUAUAGAGUAGAAUAAUUCACACCUUUAUAAGCAAUCCUGUUUCUUGUCCCUUAAAUAACAUUUAUCAUCAUCAUCAUCUCUCCCUUCAAUGACGUCUUACAUCCUGCUUAAUUUAACUCAAAAGUAAAAAAAAAAAAAAAAGACAGACACAGUUUUGCCUUUUCCAUUCAAUUUUAUUUUCUAAAUGCGACGUUUAAAAAAAAUUGUAUGUUUUUAAAUAACAUGAAACCAAAUGCCAAAUGUAUCAGGUCACUAAUGUACAGCCCAGAAUCCUGAAAGGCACCAGGCAUGGGAAAAAGAGGGAAAAAAAAAAGAAGCAGCCUAAAUACACUCAUUUACAAAGAAAGAUGCGCAUGCAUUCAUAUACACACAUAUACAAACAUACGUACAGUCGGUUCAACAUGGUCGCUGAAGACGGGAGGAUGAAAACCAGUGAAGAAGGAAAGAUAAAAUAAAAUUAAAAUCCUAAUGACUGAUUCCUUUUAAAAACCUAACCUCAAGCACUCAGAGGAAAGUCUGAAAAUAACCCUGCUCUGUGUUCUAAAACUGGGUUACUCACCCCCUUGUUCACUUCCCCUUAAAUACAGUGUUUUAUUGGCUUGUAAAGUAGUUAGCAUGGUAACGGUCACACUGGGUAAUGGACUGGCAGAGUAAAAUAAUGAUUGUGGAGACGUCCAGUCCUAAACCGCUCACGUAAGUCAAUGUUAUAUA